GUAGUCCAACAACGAAAGAGCCCUGAAGCUCAAGCGGAGCCCGCUGGCCGCAGGGGCCGCACCACGCCCCAGACCCUGGAGUUUCCGGGUGCGCAGACCCUUGCCAUCAGCAGAGGCUGCCGCUGCGCGUCCCCUAGGCGCGGAAGAGGCGGCUGGUGGUCCCUGACGGCAAGGUGAAGUCGAGGCAGUAAUCGGGAACCCAGGUUUUAUACAUUACGAAUAAAGCUGGCACGUUUCCAUUUCUCCUGGGCAAAUAUUUAGAAGAAAAGUUGCUGGGUAAUUGGUGGAGACAAGGUUUCGCCACAUUGACUGGGCUGGUCUGGAACUCCUGAGCUCAAGCAACCGGCCCUCCUUGACCUCCCAAAGUGCUAGGAUUACAGGUGUGAACCACCGUGCCCGGCCCUACUUUCUAUCGAAGUAGAAUAGAAGCACUGAGACCACAGAGGCAAGAGCUGGGGAAGGAAAACUGCCCAUGAGAUGAGAUGUGCCUCUCAGCUUCCAAAAUCGGGGAGGGUUGCAAAGGGAUGACACCAUCCACACCAGAACUGCAUGAAUGGCAUCAGGAAUGAUCAGAGACCAUAAAUUCCAGUGAGACCAAUAACACCAUUUCUGGUCCUGCAUGCUCUUCCAAACUUUGCCACUAACCCCUUCAAGAGGCUAGGUUAGAAAAGGCAACAGAACUUCAUCCUAAUCUCUCUCAAGAUGCCCCCCAUGGAAUCCAGCCAUCAUGCUGUGAGGAAUCCAAGCAGCUACAUAGAAAGGCCACAACUAGAUAUUCCAGCUGUAGUCAGCUGAAGCUCCAGCCAACAGCCAACAUCAACCACCACACGUGAAAACGAGCAAGCCUUCAGAUGAUUCCGACUCCCAACCUCCAAGCCACCUCAGCUGAAGCCAAGUAGAGCAGAGACUAGCUGUCCCCCAAUGCUCUAAUAUGCAGAUUCAUAAUUAAAAAGAAUGUUAUUGUUCUAAGCCAUGAAGUUUUGGGGUGGUUUGUCAUGCAGCAACUGGAACUGCC
This 1015-nucleotide long non-coding RNA is filed under the name Homo sapiens (human). RNAcentral's name for it is "HSALNT0259206". Lineage: Eukaryota; Metazoa; Chordata; Mammalia; Primates; Hominidae. The record is from RNAcentral.